Chenopodium quinoa (quinoa) is the source of this 817-nucleotide long non-coding RNA. RefSeq lists it as uncharacterized. The record is from RefSeq and is a predicted model, not a curated record. NCBI's taxonomy places the organism in Eukaryota, Viridiplantae, Streptophyta, Magnoliopsida, Caryophyllales, Amaranthaceae. The transcript has 2 exons.
UAUGUUUGGUUAAUGAGUAAAGUAACAAAUUCCGUUACUUGGUGGUAACCCAUUCCACCCAUUUGUUUCCGUUGCAAAAACUGCGGAAACAAUUCACGUUUCUUUCCUCGAACCCAAAAAAACACAACUUUUACUCUUUCUCUCUCCUCUCAUUCCAUAAUUUUCCGAAAAAUUCCCAAGUUUGAUCGAUCGAAUCUCUAGAUUUUGCUCAAUUUGAUCAAUUUCCUAGCUCAAAUCUCCAGAAAUCAAUAAUCUUAAUCAUCACAGACUCAUAAGAAAGCUAAAGGGUUGUUUGGAGUCCCAUUCAUUCACUAUGAAACUCUUGCGGAGAUAUACACAAAAGACAAAGCUACCGGAGAUGUAAGUGAGUCAUUCGUUGAUGCCAUAGAAGGUAUUGAUCAAGAGAUUGAUAAGCAACCAUUGAUUGUCAAGAGUGAUGAAGAAGAUGAUGUGAAUUCUACUAAUUCGGACACUUGAGCAACACAAGUUAUGUGUUGGGAUUAUUCAUAUGAUGAUGGACAUAUUAUUAGUCAAUGUUUGGAUAAUUAAUGAGUGUCAAUUUUGCUUUAUAUAUAUAUUGUUUUUUUUUAACCGUAAAAUAUGUAGCAUAGACAAUAUUUUUUAUCUAGGUUAUUUUUUUAUUUUUUUUACCCGUAAAAUAUGAGCAUAGACAAUAUUGUAUUAUUCAUUCUUAUUUUUCGUUUCCGUUUGUUAUACCAAACAAGAGGAAACGGAAUGGUGAUAAUUGUUUCCGUUUCCUUUGAUGUACCAAACAACUAGUAAUGGUAACACUAAUAGUUACCCUUUCCCCUCCUAA